RNAcentral lists this ribosomal RNA (253 nucleotides) under uncultured bacterium. RNAcentral describes it as "partial 16S ribosomal RNA". It matches the Rfam family "Bacterial small subunit ribosomal RNA", at positions 524 to 776 of the family's 1533-position model. The record is from RNAcentral.
UACAGAGGGUGCAAGCGUUGUUCGGAAUUAUUGGGCGUAAAGCGCGUGUAGGCGGCUUUGCAAGUCGGGUGUGAAAGCCCUCGGCUCAACCGAGGAACUGCAUCCGAUACUGGCGGGCUUGAAUCCGGGAGAGGGAUGUGGAAUUCCAGGUGUAGCGGUGAAAUGCGUAGAUAUCUGGAGGAACACCGGUGGCGAAGGCGGCAUCCUGGACCGGUAUUGACGCUGAGGCGCGAAAGCUAGGGGAGCAAACGGG